RNAcentral lists this ribosomal RNA (468 nucleotides) under uncultured bacterium. RNAcentral's name for it is "partial 16S ribosomal RNA". It matches the Rfam family "Bacterial small subunit ribosomal RNA", at positions 28 to 507 of the family's 1533-position model. The record is from RNAcentral.
GACGAACGCUGGCGGCGUGCUUAACACAUGCAAGUCGAACGGAAAGGCCCUGCUUUUGUGGGGUGCUCGAGUGGCGAACGGGUGAGUAACACGUGAGUAACCUGCCCUUGACUUUGGGAUAACUUCAGGAAACUGGGGCUAAUACCGGAUAGGAGCUCCUGCUGCAUGGUGGGGGUUGGAAAGUUUCGGCGGUUGGGGAUGGACUCGCGGCUUAUCAGCUUGUUGGUGGGGUAGUGGCUUACCAAGGCUUUGACGGGUAGCCGGCCUGAGAGGGUGACCGGCCACAUUGGGACUGAGAGACGGCCCAGACGCCUACGGGAGGCAGCGGUGGGGAAUAUUGCGCAAUGGGCGGAAGCCUGAUGCAGCAACGCCGCGUGCGGGAUGACGGCCUUCGGGUUGUAAACCGCUUUCGCCUGUGACGAAGCGUGAGUGACGGUAAUGGGUAAAGAAGCACCGGCUAACUACGUG